Long non-coding RNA from Oncorhynchus keta (chum salmon), 988 nucleotides. RefSeq lists it as uncharacterized. Lineage: Eukaryota; Metazoa; Chordata; Actinopteri; Salmoniformes; Salmonidae. The record is from RefSeq and is a predicted model, not a curated record. The transcript has 3 exons.
CGCUCGGGGAGUGUCAGCGAUGAGACAACGUCGAAAUUAAGGAGAAAAUGGUGGCUGUUGGCAGUAGAUACACUCAAUUCAGCUGCCGGGUUUGCCAACUUUUACCGUUUUUAACCAUUUCAUGUGUCUAGACUAGAGAAACAAACUGCAUUCCCGGUAUGCCCAGAGAGCAAAUCAAGUGCACAUUCGGUUUCCGCGGGCUAAUCGGCUGGCUCAGAUGACGGUGUUUGCAGGAAUGAAGAAGGCAUAAAAGAAAGCUACAGCAAAAUUGAUACUGGGUGGAUCAGCUUAAUAUUGCGGAAAGAUUGUUGCUUCCAUCAAUGUUCUUAAAACACAGCACUCGUCCAACCCGGAAGCCAUCCGCACCAAUGUGUCUGAGGAAACACCCUGCACCUGGCAACCUUGGUUAGCGCGCACUGCGCCCGGCCCGCCACAGGAGUCGCUGGUGCCCGAUGAGACAAACUCGCCAAACCCUCCAAUUGUGCGUAGCCCCACGGACCUCCCGGUCGCGGCCGGUUACGAAGGAGCCUGGGCACGAAUCCAGAGUCUGGUGGCACAGCUGGCGCUGCAGUACUGCGCCACCCGGGAGGCCGUACUUGUACUUUUUAGGAUGAAAUUAACAUUCUGUAUUCAACAUGUGGUUAAAAGCUAGCUAAGGUAUUAGCACGCCCUUUAUUGUAUGUGUGAACGAUGGCUAGCACCUCAAAUGAUCCCAGUCCCUUGUAUUGUGCAUAUGUUGUAGAAAGAGGCGACGGUUCGCAGAACAUAUAUUCUCUAAUGUUUUAUUUUGUUUUUAGAUGCAGAUAUGUGGUUUUAUCUAUGUAAAAUAUAUGUUGUGUGUUGAUGCAUAGUAAGGAGAGGCUGUACUCAUUUUUGUAUUCUAAAAUCAUUUUGAUGCACUAUGAGAGAAAGAGGUCAACGAUGCUCAGAACAUAGGUGCUCUACAAAUGUUUUAUUUUCAUCUGGAUGCAGGAUGCAGAGAGUGAAU